CCUACGGGAGGCAGCAGUGGGGAAUAUUGCACAAUGGGGGAAACCCUGAUGCAGCAACGCCGCGUGAAGGAAGACGGUUUUCGGAUUGUAAACUUCUAUCAAUAGGGAAGAAAGAAAUGACGGUACCUAAAUAAGAAGCCCCGGCUAACUACGUGCCAGCAGCCGCGGUAAUACGUAGGGGGCAAGCGUUAUCCGGAUUUACUGGGUGUAAAGGGAGCGUAGACGGCAGCACAAGUCUGGAGGGAAAUGCCGGGGCUUAACCCCGGAACUGCUUUGGAAACUGUGCAGCUAGAGUGCAGGAGAGGUAAGUGGAAUUCCUAGUGUAGCGGUGAAAUGCGUAGAUAUUAGGAGGAACACCAGUGGCGAAGGCGGCUUACUGGACUGUAACUGACGUUGAGGCUCGAAAGCGUGGGGAGCAAACAGGAUUAGAUACCCUAGUAGUC
RNAcentral lists this ribosomal RNA (443 nucleotides) under uncultured bacterium. RNAcentral describes it as "partial 16S ribosomal RNA". It matches the Rfam family "Bacterial small subunit ribosomal RNA", at positions 338 to 795 of the family's 1533-position model. The record is from RNAcentral.